UAAAAGACUCAAUUUACUCAGAGCCCAACUUCUUAAUGCACGUUCUCUGAAGUUUAAUUAGGGCUCAAAUUCCCUCUCUUCCACUCACGAGUUCUUUCAGGAGAUGGAGGAAGUUAUAUAUUGACACCCUCUCUUCAUCAUCUUCUCUACAAAGGAAAAAAUUAAUGGUUCCUUCUCCGUCUAAUCUGACAGCGUGGGAUCAUUAGCCAACCAGCUUAUUGCACAAGGCAAAAGGUACAAAGCAGAUAAUAACAAAGAAGAUUCGUUUUACUAUAGUUGUUAAUUCAUUUUAUUUGUUGUUUUCAUUUGUUUUACUCGUAUAGUGAUCUUCUGUACCUUCUGAUCUACUCAUCUCCAACGUUGAUUGAAAGGUAUUUCUCAUAUUUGUGUUCAGUCUAGUUUACUUCUUUCUCGUAACGGGUCGUGUAUUGCUAAUUUUUUUUUUAUCAAUUUCUAAUAAAAUACUCUUUUUUCAUUGUUUCAGCAAAGUGUCAUGGAGAGUGCGCCUACUACGUUCGUGGAUGUAGAGUAUCCUUAGAUGGCUGCAAUACCAAUCACCAAACAAAUACUUAGAAUUUUUAUUAUAUUUAUUUUUUUGUGGAACCACACUAAAUUAUGCAAUGUUUGGAUUAUUGUAUUACUACUUUAGUUUGGUAUGAUUUUGGAUUUUCAAUGUUUUUUCAUAAACGUCUCAUUAGAAUUUGAUUAACGUCAUGUAAGCAUAUAAAUUAUUUAUUAAAUUUUAGUAUUUAAAUUUUUGUAUAGAAAAAAAAAAUAAUUUUCAACAAUAGAAAGUAUUUACUAUUAUUAACUUUUUUUUAACAAUUGAGAUUAUAUUACGGAGGUUAUGAAUCC
This 855-nucleotide long non-coding RNA is filed under the name Nicotiana tabacum (common tobacco). RNAcentral's name for it is "long non-coding RNA (NTAB_LNC010157)". The record is from RNAcentral. Lineage: Eukaryota; Viridiplantae; Streptophyta; Magnoliopsida; Solanales; Solanaceae.